CAACGCGUUGCCGUAAUCGCAUGCGCAGUUCCCGAUGCAACGCCAUGACAGAUGUGUCGCAGUGACAGAAGGAGCACUGAAUUCGAAGCAUCCGUUGUGAUAGUACGAUUACGAUUGGAAUAAACAUUAUGGAACCGCAGGACGUUUAUUACAGCAAAGCAGAAUACGUCGAGACGGCGUCGGGGAAUAAGGUUAGCAGACAGACUGUUCUAUGCGGCUCCCAAAAUAUUGUUUUACAUGGAAAGGUGAUCGUACAAUCAGACGCCAUUAUUCGUGGCGAUCUGGCGAACGUGCGGACUGGACGUUACUGCAUCAUCAGCAAGAAUGCCAUUAUUAGGCCGCCCUUCAAAAAGUUUAGCAGAGGGGUUGCCUUUUUCCCACUGACGAUGGGGGAUCAUGUGUUUGUCGGAGAACGUGCAGUAGUAAAUGCCGCGAUGGUCGGUUCUUACAUAUACAUUGGAAAAGACGCGGUGAUUGGAAGGAGAAGUAUCCUCAAGGACUGCUGUUAUAUCGAGGACGGCGCUGUGGUACCGCCAGAGACCAUUGUACCUCCGUUUUCCCGGGUCGCCGGCAAUCCCGCGAGAUGCGUCGACGACCUUCCUCAUUGCACCGUCGACCUGAUGCUGGAGUUCACGAAAAAUUACUAUCAACACUUUUUACCGGCCCGAGUUUAACCCCUGCUGUUGUACAUACCUUGUGCAUAGAAAGCGCUAUCGAACACCGGUUCUCCUAGAGGCCAACCGAUCUCCUUGGUCGGCCGGUGUCUCCUACGGAACGUCAGAAAGGAUUAGAAGUGCAGAGAUUUGGAGAAAAGAGCAGGUGGUCCUUUGCGUUGGUUGUACCAGUUGUGCCACAGCAAUUCCAGUAUGAAUACGAACAGACUCAAAAGUGCCCCAUAGCCCAUCGAGACCAACGCGAAGUAGCACUCGGUGAUCCCGAUGCUGAUGAAAUUAAUCUGUCCCUGACACUUGGGCCUGCUCGAGAACAGCAGAUGCUCCUCCCUAUGUUUUAACCCGGUCUCGUGCAGCCGGAGAGCUCUGAAAACCGUCCGAAGCGAUUCACCGGCCGACUCUACGCAACCGGACACCUCCCUACUGCGCCAUCUACGAAUCUUACGCGUUCCUAAUCAGCUCCCUGUACGGCGAUCCUUUCUGAAUCACCAGCAGCGGGUCCUUGUGAUUCAGAAAGUCGAUCUCCUUGAUGCCGCACUUCUCAUCCUCCAGGAACGUGUUCUGUAUAAGGUGGUAGGCAGCGCCCAGAUCGGCGUGCAUCGCAAACAGCUCGGUCCUCAUACGAUGUAUACCUUCGGACAGAUUCAUCCAGGUGUGUUUGCCGCCUUUCGGCUCGAUCUUUUGCUCCACGAUCGCCCUUUUGAUCGGGUCCCGAAAUUUCUACACAGUCGAAGCACCCUUAGAGCUGUCCUAAACCAGAGACUCUAUCGGGCAGCUGCUCUAACCCACCGAGAAGUAGUGACGAGCGUAGACGAUAUCUUGCGCUCCCAACUUCAGCGGACAGGUCAGCAAGUCGUUCGAGGUCUUGAUCAUGUCGGUGGACGACUGAAGCAGGGUCACGAUGUUAGCCGUGUAGGAGGCGUACAGGCUCAUGGCGGCGAUCAGUAGCAUGAGCGUGACGAUGCGGGGCGGAACCCUGUACGGCUCGUAGUAAUAGCCUGUUGGAUUGGCGAGCAGGGCAACAGGAAUGCCUCGAUAAUUGUCGCGCGACAGUCAAUAGUAGGAAUGUACUUCUUGUGGAUCCAUAGACCUUUAACUACCGGAGAACCGCGACAAUUAUGAAAGAGACUAGACUACCUUGUUGGGCCACGGCGCCCAUCAAGACCAUCAGGUUGUCGCUGAACGUCUGCUCCGACGGGUUCAACGACUCCCAGUACUCGGACGUGCCCCUAUAGUACUCCCACUUGGUUGACAAAACCAGCAUGACCAGGACCACCAGCAGGAACACGCCUAUCGCGUGCCAGACGGACCGGUGGAACGGCAACGUGAAAAUGUUGCUCACCGAAGACAGCAGAGGUUUGCGGAAUAUGAAGGCCCAUCUACGAUACAUCUAGUUAUAAAAAUAGAACAAUACCUGGCUCGGAAAUUCGGAAAACCAUGGAACCUUGGGGAUAGCUAGAGCAAAGCUGGACGUACUCCACUACAUCCAGUCGCUCCUUCACGAUGAACAUGCCUGUGCCACCUAUGUCGAUCUCGCGACGCUGCAGCAUCCCCGUUAUCCCACUCCACGAGCCGUUUUCGUUCCCAUACCCCCACGAGUUCGUAGUGCAGAUAUUUAUACUGGAAGGUAAGCGUUGCGAGCUACAUACAUAUAUACAUACAUACUACGUGGUUUACGACGGUAUUCGAACACCUCUUAAAACGUAAUAUCGUUCUCAAAAAAUUUAUAUAUUAUUAGAGGAUAAAAUUUGCUAGUAUACAAAACUGUUGAAUAAGUUGACGUUUUAAUAUUUAAAAGCUUAUAUGAGUUUUAAUAAACAUGAGCUUUUUAUUAUCAGCUA
This is a non-coding RNA of Megalopta genalis, 2512 nucleotides long. The record is from RefSeq and is a predicted model, not a curated record. Lineage: Eukaryota; Metazoa; Arthropoda; Insecta; Hymenoptera; Halictidae.